GUGAAUAUAAUUACAUACGGAAACAAAAUCUUAGACAAGUAGCUUUCUCAUCUCUCUUGUGUAUGUAAAUGUUAGUUCUGAGAUUUGAACUUAGGUUUGUCUGAAUCCAAAGCUCUGUGCGUUCAGUCUCUAUGUUUCCAGUGUAAAAUCUCUAUAACUUAUCAGUGGAAAAAAGGAAUGUGUACUCAGUACUUGAUAUUACCUAAUUUUAUCCAGGUCUCUUUUUGCUGCUACAUCCUCAGGAUAAUAAUUUGACCUUCCUCUUGAACUUUGGUUUUUUUUUUUUCAUGUAUUUUUAGAUUUCUGAAUUAACAGGAAAAAAAAAUUAGUACCAUUUUCUCUUAUUCACAGUUCUCAUUUUGUUCGUAUUUCCUCUUCUACCACCCAUCUCCCUAGGCAACAAAACAAACAAAGGAAAACCUUUUAUUUUCAAAAAAUUAAAACAAAAAAUUAAGAUUAAGAUUGAGAAAUAAAUGAGGAUUGCUUUUUCAGAUGCUUAUGCAAGUAACAAGAAAAACCAAAAGCAUCUCUCACUUAAAUUCUUACAUUUGUAUAUCAGCUGCUUGCUUCACUAGGAACCCUCUAUUUUAUGCUGACCCCGAAGAUCUCACAGUAUUUCCUCAACAGCCAUGUUGUCCUCCAUAGGAGAAGGCAAUGGCAACCCACUCCAGUAUUCUUGCCUGGAGAAUCCCAGUGAGGGGGGAGCCUGGUAGGCUGCCGUUUAUGGAGUCGCACAGAGUUGAACACAGCUAACAUGACUUAGCAGCAGGAAUGGCCAUGUUAUCAUCCAUAGGAAAAUAUUUUUCCGUAAAUACAGACAAUUGAAAAUAAUGAUGUUAUCAUUUAUGGCACUUGCUAUGUGUAUUGGUCGUAUGCAAAGGAUAGAAGAUGGAAAAGAUUAUCUGGUCAGUUUAGUUACUGCCAAACAUGAGAAAACCUUACUAUGGAGUUAAGGGAGUUAAUAACAUCAAAGGAACUUCU
This 981-nucleotide long non-coding RNA is filed under the name Ovis aries (sheep). RNAcentral's name for it is "lncRNA (ENSOARG00000025802.1)". The record is from RNAcentral. Lineage: Eukaryota; Metazoa; Chordata; Mammalia; Artiodactyla; Bovidae.